GGCGCCGUGGGAGAACGGCUAUCCAGCGGACUGCAACUCCGUGUAUGCCGGUUCGAGUCCGGCUGGCGCCUCCA
RNAcentral lists this transfer RNA (74 nucleotides) under Mesorhizobium sp. RNAcentral's name for it is "tRNA-Cys". It matches the Rfam family "tRNA". Rfam says of the family: Transfer RNA (tRNA) molecules are approximately 80 nucleotides in length. Their secondary structure includes four short double-helical elements and three loops (D, anti-codon, and T loops). Further hydrogen bonds mediate the characteristic L-shaped molecular structure. tRNAs have two regions of fundamental functional importance: the anti-codon, which is responsible for specific mRNA codon recognition, and the 3' end, to which the tRNAs corresponding amino acid is attached (by aminoacyl-tRNA synthetases). tRNAs cope with the degeneracy of the genetic code in two manners: having more than one tRNA (with a specific anti-codon) for a particular amino acid; and 'wobble' base-pairing, i.e. permitting non-standard base-pairing at the 3rd anti-codon position. Lineage: Bacteria; Pseudomonadati; Pseudomonadota; Alphaproteobacteria; Hyphomicrobiales; Phyllobacteriaceae. The record is from RNAcentral.